This 1108-nucleotide long non-coding RNA is filed under the name Triticum aestivum (bread wheat). RNAcentral describes it as "long non-coding RNA (TAES_LNC026857)". The record is from RNAcentral. Lineage: Eukaryota; Viridiplantae; Streptophyta; Magnoliopsida; Poales; Poaceae.
UUAUCUCUACCUAGUUGCUACAAGGGGAAAAAGUCCUUAUAUAUAGCUAGCUGCUAGUAUAUUUUGCUUUGGUCUGUAUGUGGAUCUACUAUAGUUUCUAAUGGAGCGUCUUGUGUUACUCUUAUUUUAGUGAAGAUCUCUUCUAACAUGGACAAUAGUGUUGGCUUAAUUUCCUGUUGCAAUAAGCCGCCCCAUGUUGCUAGUACUAUUCAGUGGUGGUAUUAAGAUUUAAGCAUCCUCUUAUUGUUAAAAGAAGAUCUAAAGUUGGCUAACAUGCAUGUAUGAGAUGAACAUGAGAUGAACUUUGAUGAGAGGCAUGGGAAAUUAUUAAGUGUAUGUUUGGUUGGUGUAUUUAAGGUUGCCACUAUUUGUCACAAUGUUUAGUGUUUAGCUAGUCAUUUUUUUGUCUCUCAUGAAAUAAUUAACUUUGAUGAGAGCACGCUCAUUUUUUGUCUCCUCCGUAUAGGCAAAAGAGAGGUGUAAGCAUGCAUAUAUCCUUUGUUAUACUUUCCCCAACAUAGCCCUCUUCUCAUGUAGCAAUGUAGCGCCAAGAGGGUUGAUGCCCCCUCCCUCUCAUAGAAGCAACUCAUCGACGAUUUUUUGUUGGGCGUGAGAUAGUUCAUCGAGGUGGUCAUGCUGCUCAGGCACACCUGCAACCCGGUUCCAUCGAUCGGCUCUGAAUCACUGUUGAGUCGCUCUAGAACAACAUCCAUUUCUCAUUUCAUUUGAAUUAAAUUACAGAUUAUCCUAAUGUAUGUUCACAUACUUUGUUCUUUUUUCCUGUUCUGUGUGUACAAGUGAGUGACCCAUUGAUGAUCGAUCAAUGAUGUUGCAUAGACGUUGAGUGAAGGGUGAUGCGUGAGGAAAUUAGGUAUUUCCAUGAAAUUUGGUCCCAAACAAAUUCAUGAGGAUCUCUUCUAACAUGAAUAUUAGUGUUGGCUUGAUUUUCUGUUGCAAUAAGCCGCCCCAUGUUACUACUGUUCAAUGGUGGUAUUAAGAUUUAAGCAUCCUCUUAUUGUUAAAAGAAGAUUUAAAGUUGGCUAACAUGCAUGUAUGAGAUGAGAUGAACUUUGAUGAGAGGCAUGAGAAAUAAUUAAGUGUAUCUUUG